CUGAAGUACUUUAAUUUCGUAGGGUGAAAAUGAAACAACUGUUACUGCUCAUUCUUUGCUUCUCUUAGCACCCAGCUGUUUCUCAACAGCAGGGAAUCUGACUUAGGGCAUCUGAUUAUGACCAUGUGAUAUUUUGCAAACUCAAAUCUUUUUCCCCAUAAAAGCAAAUAGAGGUGGUAGCUGGGCUCACGGGGUUAAUAUUGUCACAUGCUGACAUGCUUUAUCACUUAAUUAUUUUUCUGUCAAAUUUCAAAGACUUCUAGCUAUAGUUCAGGUUUUUUAUUUUUAUUUUUUCAGUCUCCAAAUCACAGCAACUAUUUGAAAUGCAGUGAUCACAAGGAGACUAUUCUGUUCAUUUUGUACUUCUGAAGGAAAAUAAAUGUGCUCUGGAGAAAAUUCUUUGCUUUAAAAGUAAGCUCAAAAUUUUGUAGCUAAGAGCAAUAUAAUAUCAGCACAAUUUUUCCUUCAUAUGGAAUUUGUCAAGGUCUCCCCCCUCCAGUUAUGUAAUUUCCUAGAUAUUUUGCUCAGUAAUAAUCUUUAAAUUACAUUUAAAAAAAAAUAAUAAAACACAUGUAAAAGCUAUUUUGAUAGGAAACUUCCACAGCAGAUUUUGCUACCAAGUUAGAAGGCAUCUAUGCAACUGGCAGAAGCAAUCAUAAUGUUUUUAGCUAUUGUCCUAAGAACUCAUGAGAGUUAUGAAACUGGAAGUGUCCUCCAUGCUUUGCCUAGGAGCACCUACCACAGGGGAGACUCCUGCAGCUCUUGGUUUGUGAAGAUCAGACAGGAGAGGCAGCCAUCAGAUAAAGAAGAGAGAUCAAAACAGAAAAUUGCAUAGGGCUAUGGAAACCUUACAGAGGAUUUUUUUAGGAAAUGCUGUUAUAGCUGAAAUUCUGCAAGAGCCCUAUGUUUUUCCACAAAGUUGUUCAAAAAUGAUCAAAGACUCACAUGAAG
This 951-nucleotide long non-coding RNA is filed under the name Cairina moschata (Muscovy duck). Its description in RNAcentral is "domestica (muscovy Duck (domestic type)) lncRNA (ENSCMMG00000010115.1)". Lineage: Eukaryota; Metazoa; Chordata; Aves; Anseriformes; Anatidae. The record is from RNAcentral.